ACGGAGGAUCCAAGCGUUAUCCGGAUUUAUUGGGUUUAAAGGGUGCGUAGGCGGCCUAUUAAGUCAGGGGUGAAAGACGGUGGCUCAACCAUCGCAGUGCCCUUGAUACUGAUGGGCUUGAUUACACUUGAGGUAGGCGGAAUGUGACAAGUAGCGGUGAAAUGCAUAGAUAUGUCACAGAACACCAAUUGCGAAGGCAGCUUACUAAGGUGUCAAUGACGCUGAGGCACGAAAGCGUGGGGAUCAAACAGGAUUAGAUACCCUGGUAGUCCACGCCCUAAACGAUGAAUACUCGAUGUUAGCGAUAUACAGUUAGCGUCAAAGCGAAAGCGUUAAGUAUUCCACCUGGGGAGUACGCCCGCAAGGGUG
Molecule: ribosomal RNA, 369 nt
Filed under: uncultured bacterium
Lineage: Bacteria
Description: bacterial SSU rRNA
Rfam family: Bacterial small subunit ribosomal RNA
Source: RNAcentral